This 72-nucleotide transfer RNA is filed under the name Bacteroidales bacterium. RNAcentral's name for it is "tRNA-Asn". It matches the Rfam family "tRNA". Rfam says of the family: Transfer RNA (tRNA) molecules are approximately 80 nucleotides in length. Their secondary structure includes four short double-helical elements and three loops (D, anti-codon, and T loops). The record is from RNAcentral. Lineage: Bacteria; Pseudomonadati; Bacteroidota; Bacteroidia; Bacteroidales.
GGGUCUUUAGUGUAAUGGUAUAAGCGAGAAACACAUUGUUGCUUUGUGCUGGUUCAAAUCCAGCAAGACCCA